CCUGGGCAUAUUCAUACACAGGUGCAUAAGCAAAGAGCUUUGCACUGGGAGUAGCAGAGACACACAAGAAUGGUCAGAGCUUUUCAUGUUGGCUUUUUUAUGGUUAUUUCACCGGGGUGUGUAAAAUCAGGAGAACCUCAGCAGCUCCCCUAGAUCCUGCCUAGCACCUCUAAUCUCAGCAGAAUAACUUAAUUCAUACCUGGACCACAAAGCACAGGACCUCAGAGUUCCAAGAUAUGCCAAUUCAGCAAGAGGAUGAGGGGAGUUACCUGUAUUCUGUUUCAUCCAGAGCCUGGAGACCUUCACAGCUGUCAUGAAGUCCUUGGGAGUCCUGGUUUUGUUACCCUGGGAUGUGUUCUUAUGUACAAGGACUUGUGGCUUGCACAUAGCACAGGGGAGUUUACCCUGAUUUUUUUACAUGGCGUGUGACAGCUUGGAUAUUUCUUAUUGAUCAGGAAAACCAGUGUACACCUCCCAGGAGACCAGCACUUCCUGAUUCAAGCCCUUCCAAGUCCUUUCACAAGAAUUAAAAGAAAUCAAAACUGAAAAGGGAUUUUAAAGAAGAAAAAGGUUCUGUCAAAUCCCUGAUACCUGCAAAGCCAUAAAUAAGAGGGAUAUUUUCUAAGUUCAUAGAAUUUCAUCGUUUUCGGAAAGCUAUUGGGAGGAACGGCAUGAAAAAAUUCUGUCUGUUUCUCUAGUAGAAUACAGAUUGACCCUCCUAAAUGAAGACAGUUGGCAAGAAUGAUCUGAUCUGAGACAGAAAAACAGAAAAAAAAUCAGAUUUUAAAUAAAUUUAUCUUUUAAACUUCUGUCUCGGCUCCAGCAGCCUGCCAUAAAGAAAAUGAAAUGCAAACUGGAAACAUGGGUUUGUUCUAAUACGUGCAGGGUGAAAGAUAAAGCUAACAAGUAUAUUUGUUUCCCUACUAAUCCCUCUUCAUUAUAGGACAUAGCUGUUUUGCUUAAUGGUCACAAAUGACUCCAGUAUGAACUCAAACAAAGGGAGGUUUCUUUUCUAUUUGGAGAUUAAAUCAUUUGUAAAAAUGUUUCAAGUGCAGUCAGCAUCAACAAAGUCAAAUAAAACCUCUGUCUCACACGAGCAAAAAUUCACCAUAGCGAGUAUCUUUCUAUGACAACUGGUAAGAGGUAAUUUUUCCCUGGAGCCAACUUCCAUUGGAUCAGUAAUGCUCCAGUCUAUAGCAGAGAGAGUUUGCAGGGAGGAUCUGUGUACCAGCACACAUAAUAAUGAAUCACACCCUACAUUGAUUUAGUAAACCAAUAGGUUUUAUUAACUCAACAAUAAGAUUAAAAUGGAUUAAAACAGGAGAGGGGCUCCAGCAGUACCACAGUACUGAGCAACAACACAGAGCUGUAAAAUCUACCUGAGAAUAAAGCGAAUUAGGUCAAGCAGAGCUGCUUUGCUACUGGUACCCAAGCAGGCAGUUUUAAAGCCAUGAAUACUUCUCCACUCCAUUAUCUCCAGCCAAGAUUUGCGCCUGUCCUAUUAGUUUCAGCACAUUCAGGAUGCCUCACCACCCUCCUGCAGGAGCUUCUUUGGGAGUCCUUUGGUACAAACCAGUGUUUUUCAACCCACCGAUCCAAGGAGGCCUGAGGGUCUGUGGGCUGUUUCUAAAGGAUCUACAGUGGGCAGCUAUGAAUCUUGCAAAGCUGUAAAGCUCCUGGUGGUAGGCUCAGAAUCUGCACAUGGAAAACAAGUAGGUUUUAGAGGCCAGCAAAUUUAAAGGGGUUGAAAAACACUGCAUAAAACUUGUAGCAUCUCAAGAGUAUGUAGGAGAGCCUCCCAUUUUGCCUUACCAAACCACCUGCCCAAAUGCUCCUCGGACUCAAAGUGAAUCUUAAUGGUAAUUCAUAUUACUGCCUGUGUGGCUCUGAGCCCAGCCCUGUAAAGGCCAGUUUUGUAAGAGCUGACUUGUGGGGUGUGGAAGCAUAGAAGACAGGGAUGGAGAAGACCCCAAGGAAGUAUCUAGUCCUCCCCCGAGCCAGUAAAACUUAAUGAAUAUUUUAUUGCUUUAGUAUGUUUGGGGUUUUUAUAAAUUGUGUGCAAUCAUUGACUUAUGCCAUACGUACACAAUAAAAUUAAGCAAAUACUCAAUGUCUCUUCACAGAUGAAGCUAAAAUAAAUCUGAUUCUCCCUUCCUGAGUUAAUCCACCAUGAACAAGGCGAUCAAUGACCACCCUUGUAAGCCAUCAUCCGCCCACCUCACUCCUUCCCACCUCCUCCUGUUAUCCGGGAGAGGUUUGAUUUAGAGUGCCAAUAACUAUCCUCACAAUCACUGUAAUUAUGACGUUCAGUAUUAUUGCUAUUUGUUAUUAGAUCAGUAAAGAAAAUCCUUUUUUCUGUCUGUGGGAAUUUGCAAGAUUCUGAAAUGGUUUUCCCCUGUUCUGGAUUCAUCAAUGUUUGUGAACCAAUAAUCUGAAAAAAGUACAGAUCAGAUCAAUGCACAAUUCAUUUAGAUACUUUGAAAGUUUUUCAU
Molecule: long non-coding RNA, 2492 nt
Organism: Pezoporus flaviventris
Lineage: Eukaryota; Metazoa; Chordata; Aves; Psittaciformes; Psittacidae
Exons: 3
Source: RefSeq, a predicted model, not a curated record